AAUAAGAGAGAACGAGAGGAAAUUAUUAUUGGUCGUGAAUGGCGAAUUGGCUCCUUCGCCUUCCUCCGUCGCUCUUCGCCACCAUCAGUUUUGCGGUCUCUCGCUUCUUCUUCUUAUUCCUUUCGUAUUAUCAGUUUCAAUUGCACAGGUCACUGAGGAGCAGCUUGAUGGUUGUUCAUCGGCUUUGGGCAGGUCUAAGUCUCUUUUACAAGUUCAUCUUUCUUUGUCACGACUAGUUUUGGUUGUUUAGGUUGUUGAAUGUUUCAUCACAUUCUGGGUCGGGUCUUGCUUUGUCUCCGCCGUUUUCUCCACCGCUUCAUAGAUCCGCCGUGUUCGAGCUCGUGGCCGCCAAUCUAAGUACACUUCAAUUAAGCCAUUGGGAGAUCGAGUUUUGGUGAAGAUCAAGGAGGCAGAACUUCGCGAUUUGUCAUCUCCAUACCACUAGCUUUUCUGCUCCACUUGUCCCUCCCAGAAAUUCGCGAUUUGUUAUCCAAAUCGGAGAAAUUUGUGGGUUUGAUGCAGCAGUACUAUCGGAGAAAUCUGUGGAGAUUAUGAAGAAGUUCUCGGAGCAGUACGCUCGUUUCUCAGGGACUUACUUAUGUGUUGAUAAAGGAGUUACUUCUGUCGUCGUCAAGAUUAUAUGCUUUGGAGGAGAUUGGUUCUUUCUACUUGUAGAUAAUGACUUGCCAGAAGAUGUUUGGCGUUGUUUUCUUGAUAUAUACAGUAGGCAGUAGCUAUUAGAAAUCUUGAUGUGGAAUUUUGUUGAGUAGGUGGUGUGAUCAUCAAAAGUUUCUAUCAUGCGAUUGGUUAUGAACUACUUGAAGAAAAACUGAGUUAGUUCAAGUGAAGAUCUUGAAAUCUAGUGCUUAUUAACUAAUGAAGAUGCUGAGUUUCUUCUUG
Long non-coding RNA from Brassica oleracea var. oleracea, 900 nucleotides. RefSeq lists it as uncharacterized. The transcript has 4 exons. The record is from RefSeq and is a predicted model, not a curated record. NCBI's taxonomy places the organism in Eukaryota, Viridiplantae, Streptophyta, Magnoliopsida, Brassicales, Brassicaceae.